CCUACGGGUGGCAGCAGUGGGGAAUAUUGGACAAUGGGGGGAACCCUGAUCCAGCCAUGCCGCGCGUGUGAAGAAGGCCCUCGGGUUGUAAAGCACUUUCAGUGAGGAAGAACGCCUGGUGGUUAAUACCCAUCAGGAAAGACAUCACUCACAGAAGAAGCACCGGCUAACUCCGUGCCAGCAGCCGCGGUAAUACGGAGGGUGCGAGCGUUAAUCGGAAUUACUGGGCGUAAAGCGCGCGUAGGUGGCUUGAUAAGCCGGUUGUGAAAGCCCCGGGCUCAACCUGGGAACGGCAUCCGGAACUGUCAAGCUAGAGUGCAGGAGAGGAAGGUAGAAUUCCCGGUGUAGCGGUGAAAUGCGUAGAGAUCGGGAGGAAUACCAGUGGCGAAGGCGGCCUUCUGGACUGACACUGACACUGAGGUGCGAAAGCGUGGGUAGCAAACAGGAUUAGAUACCCGUGUAGUC
Molecule: ribosomal RNA, 465 nt
Filed under: Vreelandella stevensii
Lineage: Bacteria; Pseudomonadati; Pseudomonadota; Gammaproteobacteria; Oceanospirillales; Halomonadaceae
Description: partial 16S ribosomal RNA
Rfam family: Bacterial small subunit ribosomal RNA
Source: RNAcentral